GGACGAGAGGGUGAAGAUCAGAGGAGGAGGAGGUGCCCAUCAGGAGACGAGGACGAGGGGGUGAAGAUCAGAGGAGGAGGAGGUGCCCAUCAGGAGACGAGGACGAGGGGGUGAAGAUCAGAGGAGGAGGAGGUGCCCAUCAGGAGACGAGGACGAGGGGGUGAAGAUCAGAGGAGGAGGAGGUGCCCAUCAGGAGACCAGGACGAGGGGGCUGAAGAUCAGAGGAGGAGGAGGUGCCCAUCAGGAGAGGACGACAAGGAGGACAUGGAGAUUAGAGGAGGAGGAGGAGAGCAGGUCAGGUGCAGGGAUUCAAAGCUCACAGCGCAAGCUGCUAAUUGUGUGACUUCACUUCCACACCACCUCCCCCCGACCUCCCCCCAGCCUCCCCCCAUAAGCCAAUGGGCCCUUUACAUUACAGCAUCAUCCAACAAGUUAAAGACACGUUCAGGGAAGAGACAAUCAGAUAUGAAAGACGGUUGAUUUCAGAUCCAAAAGACAAAACAAAACUGUGCAGACGAGAACAUUUAAAAACAGUAAAAGUAACAAACACAAACUGAUAUAAAGUCCACUUUGACUUCUUCCUCUGGUGAGGGACCUCGUGUCCACUAAUGGAUCAACAACCAUCUACAGCCGUGCUCACAAAUACCUACAAUAAAAGCUAAAUGAACUCAAGUGUUAUUACCCCCCCCAGCACCCCCCCUUUAUCAUUCUGGUGACGCCGGAGGGCAAUUAAAGCCCCCCCGUCCCCUCCGUGACAGCGGGACAAAUGGAUUUCAGCGCAGUUCAUGAAUUCAAAGAUGAUGAAAUUGCCAAUAAUUGCUUGUGCGUGAGUCAAUGCAGAAAUAUUCUUCUUCAUCAGCGGCUCCGACACGAUGCUCCUCUCCCUCCCUCCCUCCCUUCCUCCUUCCUUACUUCCUCCCUCCCUUCCUCCCUUCCUCCCUACCUCCCUUCCUUCCUUCGCCCUCUCGCAUGGAAACCGCUGCAGAUUGUUUCCUAACGAGCUGCACGCGGAGUGAGACAAGACAUCUGCGUCCGUCUGCGUCCGUCUGACCCUACAACCGGUUACCGCGGCAACCGCGAUAAGCCCCGCUUCCUCCUGACCACCGAGCCACUUACGGACACCUCCAUCAUUAUCCCAAGGUGCUUUUCAAUGAGGAGGGUGUCUGUCUGUCUCCCCUUCUUCUUUAGCACUUUGGAGAGUGUGUGUGUGUGUGUGUGUGUGUGUGUGUGUGUGUGUGUGUGUGUGUGUGUGUGUGUGUGCGCCCAUACAAGUCAAUGAGGUCGUCACUAAAGCUCUGAAUAUCAAAUAGUGCUACAAACGCUCAUCCGGAUGAUGUCACGGGUUUCUAAAGCCACAAUGUGGCUUCUUUCUUAUUUGCAGUCAUCCGAUGGUGCGAACGUGUCGUGUGACCUCGUCUGAUUAAAGCCACCGUCUCUUUGGUUCAGGUGCUUUGAAUGCAGCUUUUGUGGUGAAAUAAAUGUGUUUUUGUGCAUGAUUUGUGAACAUAGAAUCAACCAGAAGCAUCUUCCGUAGAAACAAUAUGUGUUUCACUCAUUCAUUCCCUAAAACAUUACUACGUCUUCUCGGUUGUAAUGUCAAUGUUCAUAAAGCAAAGUCAGCAGUGAUUUUAUUGUGACAUCAUUUUAAUUAUUACAUUACAUUAUUUAACUGACGCUUUUAUCCAAAGCGACUUGCGUUACACUUUAAACUCACGGCUCUUACAUUUUGCCCGGGGAGCAGUUAUGGGUUUGGUGUCUUGCUCAGGGACAUCUGUCUUCAACAUGGGACAUGGAGCAGCCAGGACUCGAACUACCAACCUUGCGGUCCCCGCACACCCUCUCUGCACCUGCGCCACGACGGUUCUUUUGAUAUUUGACAUUUUGACAUUUAAGAUAUACAAAGUGCAGAUUUGCUUUAUAAAAUCAAACGCAAAAGACAGUUUGUUGUCUUUGCAUGAACAGAUGUUCAGAUCAUGAAGCCAGCAGAGUGUUUAUGUAAUAUUUCAAAUGUUAAAACAAUAAAUCGACCCUUAAAUCUUGACAUGAAUUUCUUCUGCGUUGAUUCGGAUCAUCAGACUUCAACUCGAGUCAAUCAUUCAUCGUUUUUUUUUUACCGAUUUAAAGUGUUUCAUUAAUAUUUUAUUGCCAUCAUAAAGAGGCCCACUUUAAUCUGAUUUUAUUUGUAUUCAUAACCUUCAUUACCGUGUUUUUCCUCCCCUGUUUGCUCUGUAAUCUGUGCUCCUCCUCACUGCCGCUGUUAACAAACUAAUUCUCCUUCUGGGCUCAAUAAAAAACUGGAAAGAAAAACCGAUUCAGAUUCCAGAGGCGUCUGAGAGUAGAAAACAACAAAGGAUUAACAUGGCAAACUUCUUCAAAUAUGCUUUGUCCGAUCAGGAAACAGAUCAUGUCCCAGAGUCAGAGGAGAAGCAGAAACAUCUAAAUGUCAUUUGUUUUAUUUGUGAUUCACUGUUUCCCUCUUGAUUCGUUAAUCGACAUCUGACGUGUGAAUGAGCUUCGGUAGAAGCAGCUUCUGAGCCUGAGAGCACCAUCACUCGCCUUCUACGUCACUCAUCUUCAGACGGCCGGGGGGGGGCGGCUCCAUUGGACUGGUCACAUGGAGACACACAAUCACACACCUUUAACCUUUAACCUUUAACCCUCCACCCCAAGAACUAGAGACUAUUUCCCACAGCGCCGAUGCAGCGUGGAGAGAUCUGUCAGCGCGACCCCACGUGAUACGGGACGCACUGCUCAUAUAAGAAUGAUGUAGCUUUACAGCUACGGGGGAACAAAGGGAUGAACCGGUCCUGAAGGGGGGGGGGUCCAUCAGACAAAAUGUCUGUCGCUGUGGAACUGUAAUUGGCCCUCGCAGCAGAGAGCGCGUCCUGCCUGACCCCCAGCGCGCUCUGCUUUCCUGUUUCUUUUAAUGGAGUCUGUCUCCCUUCAUGUGCCCCCCCCCCCUCCUCCUCCCUGACAGCGGCCUGUCUGCGGAUCGCUGGCAGGAAGUGGUGUCAGGAAGCGGUUAGUUUAGCGAGGUGGAGGGAAGGUAGCUGGUGGCGUCCAGGCGGCUGUCAUGAGGCCGAACCCCCCCCCUUCCCCCCACCCGCCCCGGACCCCCUCCUCAGCUCUGGACAUGACAGGGAGGCCGGCGGAGUGUCAGCGGGACGCCCCCCCCCUGUCAUGUCUGUCACGCCCGGCGGUACAGGAAGUCAUGUUACGGAACAGUCGGCCUUUCUAAAAAAGUUUCUUUCACAACCUGCAAGUGAAGGACGUCCCCUCGAUGUCCUCAGACCAGCCCCCCGGCCCCCCGGCCCCCGCAGGCC
This is a long non-coding RNA of Gasterosteus aculeatus aculeatus (three-spined stickleback), 3323 nucleotides long. The record is from Ensembl. NCBI's taxonomy places the organism in Eukaryota, Metazoa, Chordata, Actinopteri, Perciformes, Gasterosteidae.